AGUGAACGCUGGCGGUAGGCCUAACACAUGCAAGUCGAACGGCAGCACAGUAAGAGCUUGCUCUUACGGGUGGCGAGUGGCGGACGGGUGAGGAAUACAUCGGAAUCUACUUUUUCGUGGGGGAUAACGUAGGGAAACUUACGCUAAUACCGCAUACGACCUACGGGUGAAAGCAGGGGAUCUUCGGACCUUGCGCGAUUGAAUGAGCCGAUGUCGGAUUAGCUAGUUGGCGGGGUAAAGGCCCACCAAGGCGACGAUCCGUAGCUGGUCUGAGAGGAUGAUCGGCCACACGGGAACUGAGACACGGUCCAGACUCCUACGGGAGGCAGCAGUGGGGAAUAGUGGGCAAUGGGCGCAAGCCUGAUCCAGCCAUACCGCGUGGGUGAAGAAGGCCUUCGGGUUGUAAAGCCCUUUUGUUGGGAAAGAAAAGCAGCAGGUUAAUACGACGCUGUUCUGACGGUACCCAAUGAAUAAGCACCGGCUAACUACGUG
RNAcentral lists this ribosomal RNA (492 nucleotides) under uncultured bacterium. Its description in RNAcentral is "partial 16S ribosomal RNA". It matches the Rfam family "Bacterial small subunit ribosomal RNA", at positions 29 to 507 of the family's 1533-position model. The record is from RNAcentral.